UACGUAGGGUGCGAGCGUUGUCCGGAAUUACUGGGCGUAAAGAGCUCGUAGGUGGUUUGUCGCGUUGUUCGUGAAAACCGGGGGCUUAACCCUCGGCGUGCGGGCGAUACGGGCAGACUUGAGUACUGCAGGGGAGACUGGAAUUCCUGGUGUAGCGGUGGAAUGCGCAGAUAUCAGGAGGAACACCGGUGGCGAAGGCGGGUCUCUGGGCAGUAACUGACGCUGAGGAGCGAAAGCGUGG
RNAcentral lists this ribosomal RNA (241 nucleotides) under uncultured bacterium. Its description in RNAcentral is "partial 16S ribosomal RNA". It matches the Rfam family "Bacterial small subunit ribosomal RNA", at positions 524 to 764 of the family's 1533-position model. The record is from RNAcentral.